CAGCCGCCGCGGGAAUACGAAGGGUGCAAGCGUUACUCGGAAUUACUGGGCGUAAAGCGUGCGUAGGUGGUGGUUUAAGUCCGUUGUGAAAGCUCUGGGCUCAACCUGGGAAUUGCAGUGGAUACUGGGUCACUAGAGUGUGGUAGAGGAUAGUGGAAUUUCCGGUGUAGCAGUGAAAUGCGUAGAGAUCGGGAGGAACAUCAGUGGCGAAGGCGGCCAUCUGGGACAACACUGACGCUGAGGCACGAAAGCGUGGGGAGCAAACAGGAUUAGAUACCCCUGUAGUCCCUGUCUCUUAUAC
Molecule: ribosomal RNA, 301 nt
Filed under: uncultured bacterium
Lineage: Bacteria
Description: partial 16S ribosomal RNA
Rfam family: Bacterial small subunit ribosomal RNA
Source: RNAcentral